Molecule: unclassified non-coding RNA, 899 nt
Filed under: Hevea brasiliensis (rubber tree)
Lineage: Eukaryota; Viridiplantae; Streptophyta; Magnoliopsida; Malpighiales; Euphorbiaceae
Source: RNAcentral
UCUUUUUUUUUUUUUUUUAAUUGUUUGGUAGGUUUUAUGAUAUGGUAAAUUUAGUCUAACAAUGUCUACUUUUGGUGGUAUAUGUCAGAACAUUAAUGAGCAAGGACAAUCAAGUGGCAAUUUUGCAUAGGUAAUAGGGUGAUGAUUACAUAAUGAGCAUUCUAGGAAGACUCUUUGGGUUGCUCUCAUCCCAGUUCAUUAUGCUUGGAUUAUGUUAUAUACAUGUGUCACCAUGAAAAUAGUCCUGAACAUCACCACAAUGUGUUGUGAGACCUAUAUUGUAAAUCUGAGGGUUUAUUUAGCAUUUUAGUAUCAAGGUACUCAGUAAGACUGCUUGAUGGAUUUACAACUGCUAAGCAGACCCGAUGUACAACUUUAGUAUGCUAACACACUUCUGGAACUCUCUGUUAAAAUGUCCAUGCCAAACAUGUAGACUGAUAAACUGAAGUUGGGAUAACUUUGAAGAACUUUGAAGAACUUGGAAGAAGUUUAGCAUUUAAUAGUGGUACAGAAAAAUAGGUUUUGAGGAAGAGAGAGAGAUUCCAUUAGUUUUUGGGAAAGUAGUCAUUGACAGUAAUUGAGAUGUGAAGCCAGUGCAGUGCAUCCAACUUCUUCAUCUAGCUUUUAAUGUUAAUGUAAAUCUUAUCAUUGCUUUCUGUCUUCCUGAAUCAUGACAGAUACAUGAUUAUGGAUAGAGUGAAUAUGAUACUUCCUAUAGCUAAUAUACUCGGUAUUAAAGGAUGAAACUAAAGUCUUGUUCACACCAUAUCUUGACAGCAGCCUCCUUUGUUAUUAUGAAUGGUGAAACAGUUUGAAUGUUUAACUGAUGUCUGUUAAACCCUUUAUGGAGUUGCUCAUCCAUAAUACUUGAUGCAGAUUCAUGUACAUGUGGAAAUCAA